UACGUAGGGUGCAAGCGUUGUCCGGAAUUAUUGGGCGUAAAGCGCACGUAGGCGGAUCUUUAAGUCAGAGGUGAAAUCCCAAGGCUCAACCUUGGAACUGCCUUUGAUACUGGGGAUCUUGAGUCCGGGAGAGGUGAGUGGAACUGCGAGUGUAGAGGUGAAAUUCGUAGAUAUUCGCAAGAACACCAGUGGCGAAGGCGGCUCACUGGCCCGGUACUGACGCUGAGGUGCGAAAGCGUGGGGAGCAAACAGG
This 253-nucleotide ribosomal RNA is filed under the name uncultured bacterium. RNAcentral describes it as "partial 16S ribosomal RNA". It matches the Rfam family "Bacterial small subunit ribosomal RNA", at positions 524 to 776 of the family's 1533-position model. The record is from RNAcentral.